Molecule: long non-coding RNA, 1669 nt
Filed under: Leguminivora glycinivorella
Lineage: Eukaryota; Metazoa; Arthropoda; Insecta; Lepidoptera; Tortricidae
Description: uncharacterized LOC125227325
Source: RNAcentral
UUAAUAGAUUUACCUUCAACAAAAAAACUAAUUGCAGAAAAGGCAUUUAUGUUCGAAAUACGAUCGCAACACUAGAUGGCGCUGUUCACAGCCAUAUCAUUGAGGAAAAACUGUUUCCUUUCGGUAGGUAUAAGUAUAGCAUUUCUCACUUUUUGGAAGAGCAGAGUUCGCCGUCACAAGCAAAAAUAUUGCUUAAAAGAAAACCCCGACCUCUAUGUGUAAAAUUUUAUUUAAUCCAAUUUAUUUAUUGGAUCGUAAUCAUUUUAUUUUCACAAUUCUAUUUCAUAACUAUUUAUCAUUUCGGUAGCAGUAGUAGUUUAGCUUAGAGUAUGUAAUUAUUAUGAUGAGUUGGUACAACUAAACUAUGGUAUAAUGAAUUAUGACAACCGUAAUUCUGAUUAGGCCCUAAAGCUGUCAAGGACUGAAACUUUGGUUUUGUAAGUUUAUUUUCUGUACCUACAGCAGUAAGUAUUAUUAUAACAGACACAACGCGGUUAGCAUCGCAGGUGAACAAAGCGACCUAAUUCCAACCUUAUGUGGCUCGGCACAAGGCUCGAUUUUAGCUCCGACUGAAUACCUAUUGUACGUCAAUGACAUGCAUAAAAUUUUCCAGCAUGGAUCCGUAUAUCAAUUUGCAGACGAUACUUGUAUAAUUGUAGCAAACGAGGACUUGCAGACUGCGCGGGACAUGAUGCAACAAGACUUUGACACACUGUGCAAAUGGGCUCAUGACCUAGGUUUGUCUAUAAAUUUCUCUAAAACAAAACUUAUGUAUAUACAUUCACCUUAUAAAAAAGUAAACUUCACACCACAAAUCGUGGCCCACGACCACAAAUGUAUGCACAUGACCCACGCAGCCUGUAAUUGUGCGCAGCUAGAAAUUGUUAACGAGCACACUUACCUUGGAUUAAAAAUAGACCAUAAGUUCAACUGGAAUCCACAUAUAAACAAUGUUUGUAACAAACUAAGAUCUAUACUGUCAAAACUAUCCAUACUAAAAAACAAAUUGCCCUACAAUACUUUAAGGCUCCUGUACAUGGCACUGGCCGACUCUGUUAUAAGCUAUGGCUUAGAAAGCUACGGCAGAACAUAUAAAACAUAUCUAAACGACAUAUUUAACCUACAACUACGUAUACUCAAGACAAUUGUACCUACUAAAAUUAAAUAUAAAUACAAAGAUAACUAUGAAAAUCUAUUCAAAUACUGCAAAGUAUUAACUGUAUUUGAAAAAAUUGAUCUAGCAAUAAUAACUCAAUACUAUCACAAUAUAACAGAUUUAAGGAAAAAAAACACGACCCGCGCGAUUACGUAACCUAGCCAACCUUCCAACAUUUGAAGUAACAAAAAGUAACAAUGUGUACGGGCAAAGGUUAGGGAAGUGUAUGCUACCGCAUAUUUUGAAUAGAUUUUCAAACGAACUAUUAAAUUCGUUGGAGGGACGAACGAAUAAGCAGGUAAGAAAUAUUGUAAAGAAAUAUUUGUUUAAGAUAAGGCAGUCUAACGACGCCAAUUAAUUGAAUACUUAACCCUCAAAUAAAUAUGUAAAAAUGCAUGCAAUCAUUAGUAUAAUUACUUAGCCAUAAAAGAUAGGACUCCUUAACUCAAAAAAUCUUUAUUAGUUAAGAUUAGUAGUUAAGAAAAAACAUGUUAUUUUUUUUUUUAUAUACUA